RNAcentral lists this non-coding RNA (26 nucleotides) under Mus musculus (house mouse). The record is from RNAcentral. Lineage: Eukaryota; Metazoa; Chordata; Mammalia; Rodentia; Muridae.
UGUUGCUUGUCUUCUUUUUGAGAGUA